RNAcentral lists this ribosomal RNA (1303 nucleotides) under Otodistomum cestoides. Its description in RNAcentral is "eukaryotic LSU rRNA". It matches the Rfam family "Eukaryotic large subunit ribosomal RNA", at positions 63 to 940 of the family's 3401-position model. The record is from RNAcentral. Lineage: Eukaryota; Metazoa; Platyhelminthes; Trematoda; Azygiida; Azygiidae.
AACUAACAAGGAUUCCCUUAGUAACGGCGAGUGAACAGGGAUGAGCCCAGCACCGAAGCCUGUGGCCAUUUGGUUACUAGGCAAUGUGGUGUUUAGGUCGGUUCAUGGGAUCACUGCUCCACCCUAAGUCCANCAAUGAGUACGGUAGUACGGACAUGGCCCACAGAGGGUGAAAGGCCCGUGGGGGUGGAGACUCGUUUGGCCAGUGGUUCUUUGAUUAGACCUUGGAGUCGGGUUGUUUGUGAAUGCAGCCCAAAGUGGGUGGUAAACUCCAUCCAAGGCUCAAUACUAACACGAGUCCGAUAGCGAACAAGUACCGUGAGGGAAAGUUGAAAAGUACUUUGAAGAGAGAGUAAACAGUACGUGAAACCGCUCAGAGGUAAACGGGUGGAGUUGAACUGCAAUCCUUGGAGAUUCAGCUGGUGAGUGUGGUUUGAGCUUGGUCAUAUUGGUCGGCUCUGAGAGUCUGCUUAGCUGCAGGUCCUUGCCUUUGGUGGGGAUGUAGGAGGCACUUAUCAAGUGCUUUACGCUCUUGGAGUACGCGGGCCGGCUUGCCAGUGCACUUCUUCAAGGUGUUCACCACGACCGGCGCUGUCGUUUGUCUAUUGUGGUUAAACCGAUGGGAUAUUGUCCUUGUGACUUUGUCCCAUCGGGAGGGCAGGUAGCUCGUAAGACUAUGUGCCGGCUGCGGUCGGUACACCAAAGGCUCUCGGGUGUUACAGCUGACUACAAUGGUACUAUGCGAUGCGUCGGAGACGGCGGCUACUGGUGUGUGCACAUGUGCUGGUUUUGCUGUCGGGAACGGGUCCGGUUGUCAUGUUGUCUGUUCAAGCAGGCCUGAUAAUGGUUCGUUUUCGUGCAGUAAGCGGUGGUGUGUGUGUCACUAAUCUUGGGCCAAUAGUCUGUGGUGUAGUGGUAAACUCUCCACCCGACCCGUCUUGAAACACGGACCAAGGAGUUUAACAUGUGCGCGAGUCAUUGGGUUUCCGAAACCUAAAGGCGUAGUGAAAGUGAAUGUUCGGCUUUGUUCGGACUGAGGUGAGAUCUUGGCGUUUCUCAUGCGCGGUACUACCAAGCAUUCGACCGUCAGGCGCAUCACCGGCCCGUCCCAUAGUGUGGUCAUGAUAUCCUCCGGGAUUGUGCAUCACUGGGGCGGAGCAUGAGCGCACACGUUGAGACCCGAAAGAUGGUGAACUAUGCUUGUGCAGGUUGAGCCAGAGGAAACUCUGGUGGAGGACCGCAGCGAUUCUGACGUGCAAAUCGAUCGUCAAACGUGAGUAUAGGGGCGAAAGACUAAUCGAAC